GCCACUUUCUAUUCUUCUUCAAUAGAGCCAACCAGGUCAGAGUGUGCUGGAUGUAGAGUUGGCACGUGAACCACCCUUGUGUCCCAGUUCUUUUUUUAAAGAACUCCUGAGUCAAACUGACCCAGCAAAAACUUGCACAAUGUUUUGUCUGAAGGGGAGAAGUGCUGUUAAGUGAACCAGUCCAACACCUACCUUUUGUGAGGAUUCCUCCACUCUCCCCAACCCCCUAGCAGUAUUGUGAAUCAAGUUCAGUGAAUAUACAUCUAGUUUUUAUAAACUAUUUUCCUUGGAUCCAACAGUAUGUUGAAUGUCAAAAUGAAUAUGACGACAGUUUGACUAACCCAUUUAAUCUCUUUUUACAGUAUCCUUCAAGCCAUGGAUGCUGUGUGCCUACUGAGGAGUUAAGGAGGACUGGACAAUAGGUUUCAAAAUAUUCCCUCCUUAAUUUGGUUGGGAUUAUGGAGAUUGAGAAUAACUGUACCAAUUUCUGUUUAAUUCUAGUUUUAAUUUGCUGUGGAAAUAUUCUCUCUCCUUUUUAUCUCUCCACCAACCAACUCCUGGGAUUUUUUGGUGUCUUUAAUAUUAAUGGUUUAUAUUUUUUUAGAUAUUGAUUUUUUUUGUAUGAGUUUUUGAAUCAUGUGCUCAAAUUGCCUUACUGACGCAGAGCUUUUAUUUCUGUGCGAUGAUGCACUUUGUAACCGCAGAGAUUUAUCUUCCUUGAGUGCACUUGCUUUGUAAAUUAAUUAUAAGGGACUGAGAUGAAGGAAAAUCACUAACUGUCACACUUGCCACUGAAAACACAACAAUAUUCAAUUCAAAAAAAUAAAUAAAUCUGUAAAGUCAAGUUUUCUACUUUCUCUAUUUACUUAAAAUGUAUGUAAAUCCAGAUGAUUUCUCAAAUUUUCAGUGUUAAAUCUAGGUGAAAUGUUAUAAACUUUGGUAGUACUUUCAAGCAUACUUGCAUGAACCUGUAUGGAGCAUUGUUUCAAUCUGUUUAAUUAAUUUACCAUAAUCUAGAUGAAAAUACACAUCUAAUUAGUGGAAGGGGAAGUAAUUUGAAGUUGCUUUCCCCACAAUUCUGAGCAGCAGUUAUUAACCUUCAACAACUAGGGCCAUCUUUUGUUUAUUUACCAAUUAAGAUCUCAGCCACAUUUUAGAUUUGCUAAAACUCCUAGCCUGCAUUCUCAGUCAAACGAGGGUUUUUUUUUAAAAAAUCUUGCAUCUGAGUUUUUUGAGCGUUUUUCUGUUUUUAUUUCUGAGAGCAGGGAUGGCUUCUGCUUAUUGGAAGUGUCAGUGGUGCAGUGUGUCACAUCACCAGCUGAGAAUACCAAUUAACUGAGAUGGAACAUACUUUGGAGCCUCUACCAUUACUAUCUACAGCCACAGACCGUACCAGGUGCCUCGUGACAUCAGCUUGGUCUCCCUGAGUGAACUGUAACUCACCACCACUGCUGAUUGCUUUCUUGUCACCCUGUGUGUGUGCAGAUGUCUAGGAAUGCAAGAGUUACAGAGCUGCUUCAUAUUUAAUAUUGUUGGGAGGAGGACUUAAGUUUUGAUGAUAAAGGAAAACAGCUUUACUUGGUGUCCUGUGGAAAUAACUGUGGUUGUUUGAUAAAAGAGCUCAUUGAAAGUUCACUGUGGACAUCAGAGAAUUUUUUAACAAGACUUCCCGGGAACCACAUGAUUGGUGGUAACUGGAGAAUCUGAGAUAACAAGGUGCAGAGCUGGAUGAACACAGCAGGCCAAGCAGCAUCAGAGGAACAGGAAGGCUGACGGUUCGGGCCUAGGCUUGGCCUGCUGUGUUUAUCCAGCUCUGCACCUUGUUAUCUCUGAUGGGUGGUAACUGCUUGUUUUGCUGCAGUCCACGCUGGGGCUGUUUUGAACAGUAACUGGUUUCAAGACAUACUUAUUUUCUUUGGUUCAAUUGGAGGAAAGCCUACAAAAAGCAAACUGAAUUGGAGGGAAGCCUGAAAAGACCACGCUGCCCAGAUGAUCUCUUUCUUCCUUUUUUGAAGAGAAAAUAAUGAGUUCAGGAUGAAAACCAUUUGUUCUUUUGAAAGAGUGAUUGAAGGAACAGCUCAAGAUUUUAUUUGCUGAACAAACAGUCUGCAAGAGUUCAGAGAUAACAUUGUGUUUAAUGAUUUGACCACAAUACCAGAAGAUCAGACUCUGGGACAUUCUGUGCUUUAUCCCUCUGCCUUCAAGAAUAACUCUUUGGCCAAACUGAUUUGUUUUUCCAUAAAGUUAAGCUCUACAGAGAUUGUUCCUUUUCCUAGAGCUAUGUGCAUGGGUAUGUAUGUGUGUCAGUAGAUGUGUGUCUGGGAGAGUGUUUGUGGAUAUGAUUUGGAGAUAUUUAGAAGAAUAUACUUCAACAUUACUGACUGUGUUAACCAACCAUUCGAUAAUAAACCAAUAUCUGUGUUUUAAGUAA
This is a long non-coding RNA of Rhincodon typus (whale shark), 2431 nucleotides long. RefSeq lists it as uncharacterized. NCBI's taxonomy places the organism in Eukaryota, Metazoa, Chordata, Chondrichthyes, Orectolobiformes, Rhincodontidae. The transcript has 2 exons. The record is from RefSeq and is a predicted model, not a curated record.